GUUGUAACUCAGAGGUAGGGUGCUCGCCUAGCAUGCAUGAGGUACUGGGUUCGAUCUUCAGCACAACA
RNAcentral lists this transfer RNA (68 nucleotides) under Marmota monax (woodchuck). RNAcentral describes it as "tRNA.Ala". The record is from RNAcentral. Lineage: Eukaryota; Metazoa; Chordata; Mammalia; Rodentia; Sciuridae.